GGUCAGGACCAGGUUACCUGGCACAAAACAAGUCAGGAGCAGAACUGAGAACAAAAACGCCUGUCACAACCAUGAACAAAUGAUCUGGACAGUCAUUGACCUGCUUCUGGGCGUAAUAGCUGGCUGCCAUGAUACUUUGUUCCAUCUACUGAAGUUUCCAUCUGUCUACAGUGAUUGCCUCCCUCAAAAGCUGAGAAUACAAAGUACCGACCUUGAGUCCCUAAAGAGUGAUAUGAACCUGUGAGCUGACAUUACUACAUCAGAUGAGGGCAAAGCAUUGGUUACAUUUCACAAAACCAAAACAGACGGUGGAAUUGUUGCUUGGAAUGGAGAAAUGUAGUGGUUUUGGACAACAGCUAAACCUGAACAUUGGACUCUCACAGACUCUGGCACACAGCUGCACAGCACAUACCACAGUGACAAGCAAAGGGUGUGAAGCCUUUGAUGAGCUAAACUAUUCAUGCCCUAUCUUUAGCAUGUUAAUUAAACAGUCAUGCCCAUUAAUGUGAUUGAACUGAUUGAAAUGUGAAGCUUUGAAGGAACUGUCAUGUCAUAAAUCACUUGCAAAUUACUAAUCAUCACUUUAAUAACCAGUCAGACCUACUGACAUGGAUCAUCUGUUCCUCUUUUCCAUGGUGCACUGGCAAUGGGAUAAUAUAUACUGGAGAACAUUUAACUCCAAAACAGCUGCUCAAUAUCAUGCUUAAUGGGCCAGAUUUUCAGCUGGCCUUAAGCAUGCAUAGUUACAGCUAGGUUAUUUGCUGUAUUUCUUUGCCUAAUAACAGAAUUUGUAAGCACAAAUAUAGCAACUGUGCAUGCAUAUUUGUGCAGAUGUGAUUAGGGACCAUGUUUUGAAAAAGUGUUGCACUGCGUCUACCAUAUUAACCAAAAGAACAAAAUUGUGUUCUCUCUCUCUCUCUCUAACUAGGUCUUAUAUGUCCCUCAAUGUGAGUACCCACCAAACAACAUACAUUUCUCUCUCUUUUCUCCUUCCUGGCCUGGAGCAGAAAUGAUUUCAUUCAUAUAUAGGCAUAUUUGUUUGUUGAUACUUGCAAAAGUAGGUGUAGUAUGUGUAUUUGUAGACUUCAUGGGUAUGUGUUUACUGCAGAGUUAACUCAGGUUAUCUACACUCAAGUUACUUCUCUCCAGUAGCCUAGCUUGAGUGAGAUUCAAACUGCUGUGUCCACACUGUCACUCACUUGUGUGUAUCAUACAGAGUAGUCAUGUGAGCAGCUGAUGAGUUGUGCUAAAUUGAGCUUAGCCAUUCACCCUGGAUGGGCCCGUCAACUUUAGUUAAAACAUCAAUGGUUUUUGUGUGUGGAUGGGACUCAAGUUAAUUUUGCAGUGAAAAUAGUUCUUCCUCACAGGAUUUAAGUCCAAGAAAGGUGCUUUUGCAUUUAGAGUCCUAUGUUCAUUCCUAUUUCUUCUUUCAUAGUCUAGAUCCAGAUCCUGUGAAAAUUCUCCUCCACUCAUAAGCCUUCCCCUAUUGGUUGACAUUUUCAUGGUUCCCGUGAAACAUAGCUGUUGCGGGAUGUCAUGCUCAUGGCAGGAAUAGCAACCACUCAGGUAGUUAGGGCCAAGCCUGUGGAAGGUUUUGAAUAUCACGAUAGAAACACUGAACUGAACUCUAUAUUGACUGGGGAGCCAGUGUAAAGACCAGACCACCAGAGUGAUGAGUUCACAAUGAUCUAUGCUGUUAAGCAGGUGAGCUUUUAUGUUAUGUACCAUUUGGAACUUUAUACCCAGGAACGAAAUCUGUGGCUUCAUUCCUGGAUAUAAGGGCUCUAUCUCCCCCUCCUAUGUGAACAUGUUGGAAGAGAGGAAACUAAUCAAUAAAUUAUGCAGCUCUAAGACAGUCAUUGUUUGGAAGACAUACUACCACUUUCACAGCAGGACUAGACGCGGUAGGGCAGGGGCAGUGGGCAGCCUGAAAAAAGCUUUGAGAUGGGAUCCACUGGAAACCCUCACAUAUGCUCUGCAGUAUCUGGCCAGAUGCAUGCAGAGACUCUCCCACUGUACUCCUCUAAAACAACCCAAGCACUGGUAACAUAGCUAGAGCCAGGGCCAUGCUGCUCUUAGCUUCCAGACCACAGCUGUGCUCUGUGACCCUUGGUAUGGGAAGGGUCACAGAGUGCAGCAAGGAACUUAAUGCUGUUCUAUACACCAUGCAACUCUUUUAACAUGGUCUUUAUGCCACAUAGCCACAGGACUAUGCCACAUGGAGCAGCUAGCUAUCCCCUGACCUCACCCCAUGCUGCCUGGCCAAAGCCCUUUCCCUGUGUGUCCAGACUGCCACGGAGGGCCAAAUACCAUUUAUGCAGAGGGCAGAAAGAGGGUGAAUCAUAUGGUGAUCCAACCUUUCUGCUCCACAUAGGGAAAUGGGUGUUGGUGCUAACAAGGGCUGUUGAUGUGGCAAAGUGAUGUGAGGGCAGUCAUUUGGAGCUACAGGGCUUGAUAAAAAAUUUAUUCUCAUUUUUAAGCCUCUUGUGUGACUUUGUACUUUUCUGAGCCUUUUCACAUGUGAAUUCUCUAAUGGAAGCCUUGUGGACUUGGAAAGCUUAUUCUGGUUACAAGUAUACAGGGUGACAGGUAAAUGAUUACUUUUCCUCUAUCACCACCUCUGAGCUGGGGAUUUUCCACUACAGUGUCAUUGCUUAGGGAAAGUUUUAAAAUGGCAGCAGAAUCUCAAACUGUCUGAUUCUAGUGCUGAUAUAGUGCUGCUUGAUUUGCUUGACUAAGGAAAUGCUGGCAAAAAAAGCUACAGUUGGCAAUUUGCUUGUCUCCCUGCAUAUUUUGGCUCCAUAUCAAUGUUUUAAAGUUUUUUCCAGACGUGUGCAGAAUAAUCUGAACAGCUGUCAUGUGACCAAAUGUGAAUGUGAUGAGAACAUUUUACAUAUACAGUGUGA
This is a long non-coding RNA of Mauremys mutica (yellowpond turtle), 2906 nucleotides long. RefSeq lists it as uncharacterized. The record is from RefSeq and is a predicted model, not a curated record. The transcript has 3 exons. NCBI's taxonomy places the organism in Eukaryota, Metazoa, Chordata, Testudines, Geoemydidae.